UAGAGGGGUCAGGGUUCAGAACCCCUCCCCGAACCCAGGGUAACUCUCAAAGUGGAGGGGAA
Non-coding RNA from Rattus norvegicus (Norway rat), 62 nucleotides. The record is from Rfam. NCBI's taxonomy places the organism in Eukaryota, Metazoa, Chordata, Mammalia, Rodentia, Muridae.